AUGUAAUUAUAGGUGACAUGUACCUGUGUACUACUGGGUAACAAGCUCCAGGACAUAUGUACUCACCUCCAGAAGACCCUCACACCGAAAAAGAAGUUUGGUGAGCAGUACAACUCAGACUCAGUGUGUUGUGUCAGUCCAAUAACAAACAGAUGUGGAGUCUCGGGUCUCUACAUCCGCUUCAUGACCACCAACACAACUGCUGCGUAUGCUGUGAUCAGUGACAUAGUUCGCCCACUGUUACCUAUACUUGGAGCGGACCCCUUCCACAACAAAUAUUGACCUGCAGCUACCCCUGACUGUUUGCACAUAUCGACUGCCAUGUUUUACUCUUUACAAAUAAUUUGUAUGGACAAGAACCCAUUUCAUCAGGAUAAAGAAAUCAAAACACGUCCCUGUCCAUGGGGACUUUUAAGACUAGGAACAAGAACCUGCAGGAUAACAUCAGGACACACACCAAAUACUUGACCACGUCUUUUAUACCUGCUUUGAGUGAUUUAGUACAGCACCCUCAUGGUUCAUUGUACGGCCGACACCGAAACAGACCUACUUGUGAUUCAUAAGAUUUAUAUGCAAAUUACAUUUUACAUUAUUUUCUAAUAUAAGUUCUGUGAGAACUUUUGUCAGAAUUGAAAGCUAGGUUAGAUGUUGAAUCGAUCUAGCUUCCCUGUAUAUUUACAUCCCUACAAGUGAAGCUAAGAAUUCAUUUUGCAUUAGUCAAAAUAUCUUUAUGUGAAAUUGUGCCUGUUUUUGUGGUACAAUUUGUAUAUGACAAAUGUUAUAUUCUUCCUUAAAAUGUUUUCACAUUUCAUGUCAAAUUGUUAAAGACUUGAUUCAUUUAUGUAUAUCAAAUGAAAUGUUAUUAAAUGAUAUUAUA
Long non-coding RNA from Mizuhopecten yessoensis (Yesso scallop), 877 nucleotides. RefSeq lists it as uncharacterized. The transcript has 3 exons. The record is from RefSeq and is a predicted model, not a curated record. NCBI's taxonomy places the organism in Eukaryota, Metazoa, Mollusca, Bivalvia, Pectinida, Pectinidae.